CCCUUAGAUGUUCUGGGCUGCACGCGCGCUACACUGACGCACGCAACAGGUGCCUGCUCCGAGAGGACUGGGUAAUCAUUUGAGUGUGCGUCGUGAUGGGGAUAGAAUAUUGUAAUUAUUACUCUUCAACGAGGAAUUCCUAGUAAGCGCCAGUCAGCAGCUUGCGCUGAUUACGUCCCUGCCCUUUGUACACACCGCCCGUCGCUCCUACCGAUGGGUGAUCCGGUGAAUGAUUCGGACUUCAGCGGCUCCCCGGGGGUGCGCCGGAGAAAGUUUUGUGAACCUUAUCACUUGGAGGAAGGAGAAGUCGUAACA
This 315-nucleotide ribosomal RNA is filed under the name uncultured eukaryote. RNAcentral's name for it is "partial 18S ribosomal RNA". It matches the Rfam family "Eukaryotic small subunit ribosomal RNA", at positions 1470 to 1796 of the family's 1831-position model. The record is from RNAcentral.